GCGUUUUAAUCUCCUGCUAAAAACAGUAUAAAUACGGAUUCGAGAUCUCUGUUCAGACAUAACACAUCUUUUUGUGCAAUUUUAUUCUUUGGUGAGUACUCACAACUUUUAUAAUAUAUUUUACGAGAACGAAAACAAUUUAGUUUCUAUUCGGUCAAUUUUAUUAUUAUAUUUUUUUAUUCCUGUUUGUAGUCUUCACUUCGUUUCACNACAAGCCAACUUAUGGUGAGUGUAAUAACCGUUUAAUAACACUUAUUAAUUAUUCCUCAAAUACAUACAAUUUUCUGCUAAGCGAUGAUAAUUUUAAAAUCGAUAUUUUUCUCGACGAAUAUUUAAAAAAAAAAUUAAACUUUUUUCUAACGCUUAUAAUGAUUCUUUUUUUCCACUAGAAAUGCAUAUUAGUAUAGAUAUGAUUUUUUUUAUUUUAUAACACAAUGUUAAAACGCGAUGCUAUUAUAAUGUAUCGGUACUUAUAAAAAAAAAAAAAAACGAUAGCCAAAUCAUUUUCUCAUACUACACGAUACCUGAAUAUCCAAAUGUGUUGGUUAUCGAAAAAAAUUAUCAAUCUAAUACAUUUUUCAGAACGAGGAUAGUUUUAUUUAUUUUAUAUAUUUUAAAUAACAUUCUUUACACGUUUUUGGCUACACUAAAUACUAAAAUAUUUUAUAUUACUUAUAAUUAUUUAUUUUGUUUUUUUCAGUCCUGUUAAUCUCAUGUAGUCCAUACAUUGCAAACUCAAAAAUGCCAUAGUCCAAACAAUGCGUAUUAUGUGUGUAAUUAUUAAUUAAUAAUAUAUGUAAUAUGUAUUGACAUCUCAAAAUAAACCAGUCUAAUCCGUUACAUCACGUUUUUUAUUUUUUUAUUUGUUCAUAUUUG
Cinara cedri is the source of this 876-nucleotide non-coding RNA. Lineage: Eukaryota; Metazoa; Arthropoda; Insecta; Hemiptera; Aphididae. The record is from the annotation of a GenBank genome assembly.